GAGGAUAUAGCUCAGAUGUAGAUUGUAUGCUUAGCAUGCAUGAGGCCUUGGGUUCAAUCCCCAGUACCUCU
RNAcentral lists this transfer RNA (71 nucleotides) under Camelus bactrianus (Bactrian camel). It matches the Rfam family "tRNA". From Rfam's summary of the family: Transfer RNA (tRNA) molecules are approximately 80 nucleotides in length. Their secondary structure includes four short double-helical elements and three loops (D, anti-codon, and T loops). The record is from Rfam by way of RNAcentral. RNAcentral also lists the same sequence under 2 other names. Lineage: Eukaryota; Metazoa; Chordata; Mammalia; Artiodactyla; Camelidae.